Molecule: long non-coding RNA, 399 nt
Filed under: Mus caroli (Ryukyu mouse)
Lineage: Eukaryota; Metazoa; Chordata; Mammalia; Rodentia; Muridae
Description: predicted gene, 38108 (MGP_CAROLIEiJ_G0004583.1)
Source: RNAcentral
CUCCAGACAGGGCGAGCAUCCUCUACCUUUCCUAUAGAUUUCUUGCCUUCUAAUGUUUUUAGGUAACUAACAGAACCCCACUAUGCAAGAGGGAGUUGCAUCUGCUUUCCUUCACGUACACCCACAAGGCAAGGCAAUCAUCCUGAGGACUCAAGCUGGACAGCUAAAUGGGGAGCCUCGAUUGCAAGCAGGCUGGAAUUCGCUCUCUGAAUUAUCUGCCAGCUGUCCACACAGUCUCAGAGGCAGACCUGACCUGUUUUCCUGAUGAACCGUGAUGGUAGAAGAAGGGAAAGCCAGUGAAGUGCGUCAGUCCAGGGUAGUGUCACCAGGUCUCUCUAUGCAGAGUCAAGGGCAAUGGAGCAAAUGCCUACAUCUGACUUCAUGUGAUCUUAUGUGCCA